GUACAGAGGUCCCGAGCGUUGUUCGGAUUCAUUGGGCGUAAAGGGUGCGUAGGCGGCUUCCUAAGUUUGAUGUGAAAUCCUGGGGCUCAACCCUGGAACCGUGCAUUGAAUACUGGGAGGCUAGAGUACUGGAGAGGAAACUGGAAUUUACGGUGUAGCAGUAGAAAUGCGUAGAGAUCGUAAGGAAGACCGUGGCGAAGGCGAGUUCUGGACAU
RNAcentral lists this ribosomal RNA (215 nucleotides) under uncultured bacterium. RNAcentral describes it as "partial 16S ribosomal RNA". It matches the Rfam family "Bacterial small subunit ribosomal RNA", at positions 523 to 736 of the family's 1533-position model. The record is from RNAcentral.